This 878-nucleotide ribosomal RNA is filed under the name uncultured eukaryote. RNAcentral's name for it is "SSU rRNA". It matches the Rfam family "Eukaryotic small subunit ribosomal RNA", at positions 572 to 1469 of the family's 1831-position model. The record is from RNAcentral.
AGCCGCGGUAAUUCCAGCUCCAAUAGCGUAUACUAAAGUUGUUGCGGUUAAAAAGCUCGUAGUUGGAUCUUGGAAUGUGUUCAAGCGGGUCAGCUUCUGGCUGUGCGCUGCUUGACGUGUUCUUCUAUUUGGUUUUGGUGCGGUGCGCUUAACUGCGUGUCGCUCCCGGCCGAAACGUUUACCUUGAAAAAAUUAGAGUGUUCAAAGCAGACCUGUUUGAGUCUGAAUAUUCGUGCAUGGAAUAAUGAAAUAUGAAUUCGGUUCUAUUUUGUUGGUUUUCGGAACUCGAGUUAAUGAUCAAGAGGGACAGACGGGGGCAUUCGUACUCUGCCGUUAGAGGUGAAAUUCUUGGAUCGGCGGAAGACGCGCAACUGCGAAAGCAUUUGCCAAGAAUGUUUUCUUUAAUCAAGAACGAUAGUCGGAGGUUCGAAGACGAUCAGAUACCGUCCUAGUUUCGACUGUAAACUAUGCCAGCUAACGAUCAGACAGAGUUCUCUACGACUUGUCUGGCAGUUUCCGGGAAACCAAAGCGUUUGGGUUCCGGGGGAAGUAUGGUUGCAAAGCUGAAACUUAAAGGAAUUGACGGAAGGGCACCACCAGGAGUGGAGCCUGCGGCUUAAUUUGACUCAACACGGGGAAACUCACCCGGCCCGGGCACAGUGAGGAUUGACAGAUUGAGAGUUCUUUCUUGAUUCUGUGGGUGGUGGUGCAUGGCCGUUCUUAGUUGGUGGAGCGAUUUGUCUGGUUAAUUCCGAUAACGAACGAGACUCUGGCAUGUUAAAUAGUCGCGGAAGUGCGUAUGCACUUGCCGAAUUGACUUCUUAGAGGGACUAGUGAUUUUAAUUCACACGAGAUUGAGCAAUAACAGGUCUGUGAUG